RNAcentral lists this ribosomal RNA (161 nucleotides) under uncultured bacterium. RNAcentral describes it as "partial 16S ribosomal RNA". It matches the Rfam family "Bacterial small subunit ribosomal RNA", at positions 355 to 508 of the family's 1533-position model. The record is from RNAcentral.
UGGGGAAUAUUGGACAAUGGGCGCAAGCCUGAUCCAGCCAUACCGCGUGGGUGAAGAAGGCCUUCGGGUUGUAAAGCCCUUUUGUUGGGAAAGAAAAGCAGUCGGCUAAUACCCGGUUGUUCUGACGGUACCCAAAGAAUAAGCACCGGCUAACUUCGUGC